This 433-nucleotide ribosomal RNA is filed under the name uncultured bacterium. Its description in RNAcentral is "partial 16S ribosomal RNA". It matches the Rfam family "Bacterial small subunit ribosomal RNA", at positions 29 to 507 of the family's 1533-position model. The record is from RNAcentral.
AACGAACGCUGGCGGCAUGCCUAACACAUGCAAGUCGAACGAGCCCUUCGGGUCUAGUGGCGCAAGGGUGCGUACCGCGUGGGAACAUGCCCUUAGGUACGGAAUAAUACCCUGCAUGGGGUGCUAAUACCGGAUAAUGUCUUCAGACCAAAGAUGUAUCGCCUUUGGAUGGGCCCGCGUUGGAUUAGCAAGUUGGUAGGGUAAAAGCCUACCAAGGCGACGAUCCAUAGCUGGCCUGAAAGGAUGAUCAGCCACACUGGGACUGAGACACGUCCCAGACUCCUACGGGAGGCAGCAGUGGUGAAUAUUGGACAAUGGGCGAAAGACUGAUCCAGCAAUGCCGCGUGAGUGAUGAAGGCCUGAGGGUUGUAAAGCUCUUUUACCCGGUAUGAUAAUGACAGUACCGGGAGAAUAAGCUCCGGCUAACUCCGUG